Molecule: ribosomal RNA, 494 nt
Filed under: uncultured bacterium
Lineage: Bacteria
Description: bacterial SSU rRNA
Rfam family: Bacterial small subunit ribosomal RNA
Source: RNAcentral
GAUGAACGCUAGCUACAGGCUUAACACAUGCAAGUCGAGGGGAAACGAUAGAGAAAGCUUGCUUUUUCUAGGCGUCGACCGGCGCACGGGUGAGUAACGCGUAUCCAACCUGCCCACCACUUGGGGAUAACCUUGCGAAAGUAAGACUAAUACCCAAUGACGUCUCUAGAAGACAUCUGAAAGGGAUUAAAGAUUUAUCGGUGAUGGAUGGGGAUGCGUCUGAUUAGCUUGUUGGCGGGGUAACGGCCCACCAAGGCAACGAUCAGUAGGGGUUCUGAGAGGAAGGUCCCCCCACAUUGGAACUGAGACACGGUCCAAAACUCCUACGGGAGGCAGCAGUGAGGAAUAUUGGUCAAUGGGGCGAGAGCCUGAACCAGCCAAGUAGCGUGCAGGAUGACGGGCCCUAUGGGUUGUAAACUGCUUUAUAAGGGAAUAAAGUGAGCCUCGUGAGGCUUUUUGCAUGUACCUAUGAAUAAGGACCGGCUAAUUCCGUG